GAUGAACGCUGGCGGCGGGCCUAACACAUGCAAGUCGAACGACCGGACGAGAAGUUUGUUCCUUUAACGUUAGCGGCGGGCGGGUGAGUAACGCGUGGAUCACCUACCAAUAAGACGGGGAGAACUUCGAAAAGACGGAUAUAAUAACAUAGAAUACAUCCAACGGCUGGGAUCAAGAGAGAAAGAGGCUUUUGCUGUCAGAUUGAGACGGAUCCGCGCCGCAUUGUCUAGUUGGUAAGGGCACGCCUGGCCAAGGCGACGAUGCGUAGCCGACCUGAGAGGGUGGUCCGCCACACUGGAACUGAGACACGGUCCAGACUCCUACGGGAGGCAGCAGUGGGGAAUCUUACGCAAUGGGCGAAAGCCUGAUGCAGCAACACCGCGUGAGUGAUGAAGGUCUUCGGAUCGUAAAGCCCUGUUGUUAGGGAAGAACAACAGUGUAGUUAUCCACGAAUGUUCUGACGGUACCCAAUCAGUAAGCCACGGCUAACUACGUG
Molecule: ribosomal RNA, 497 nt
Filed under: uncultured bacterium
Lineage: Bacteria
Description: partial 16S ribosomal RNA
Rfam family: Bacterial small subunit ribosomal RNA
Source: RNAcentral